RNAcentral lists this ribosomal RNA (405 nucleotides) under uncultured bacterium. Its description in RNAcentral is "partial 16S ribosomal RNA". It matches the Rfam family "Bacterial small subunit ribosomal RNA", at positions 28 to 526 of the family's 1533-position model. The record is from RNAcentral.
GACGAACGCUGGCGGCGUGCUUAACACAUGCAAGUCGAGCGGAGCGGCGAACGGGUGAGUAACGCGUGAGUAACUGCCCCCCUCUCUGGGAUAACAGUUGGAAACGGCUGCUAAUACCGGAUAGUGGGGGAUGACUCGCGUCCUAUCAGCUUGUUGGUGGGGUAGUGGCCUACCAAGGCGACGGCGGGCAGACGGCCUGAGAGGGCGACCGGCCACAUUGGGCUGAGAUACCGGCCAAACUGCUACUGGAGGCAGCAGUGGGGAAUUGUGCACAAUGGGGGAAACCAGGAUGCAGCAACGCCGGGUGGGGAAUGACGGUCUUCGGGUAGUAAACCGCUUUCAGCCAUGACGCGGUAGUGGCAGAAGAAGCACCGGCUAACUACGUGCCAGCAGCCGCGGUAAUAC